This 1751-nucleotide ribosomal RNA is filed under the name Vibrio breoganii ZF-55. RNAcentral's name for it is "bacterial LSU rRNA". It matches the Rfam family "Bacterial large subunit ribosomal RNA", at positions 1216 to 2925 of the family's 2925-position model. The record is from RNAcentral. Lineage: Bacteria; Pseudomonadati; Pseudomonadota; Gammaproteobacteria; Vibrionales; Vibrionaceae.
UUUGUAUGCGGGGUAGGGGAGCGUUCUGUAAGCGGUUGAAGGUGGUCUGUAAGGGCUGCUGGACGUAUCAGAAGUGCGAAUGCUGACAUGAGUAACGAUAAAGGGGGUGAAAAACCCCCUCGCCGGAAGACCAAGGGUUCCUGUCCAACGUUAAUCGGGGCAGGGUAAGUCGACCCCUAAGGCGAGGCCGAAAGGCGUAGUCGAUGGGAAACGGGUUAAUAUUCCCGUACUUCUUAUAAUUGCGAUGGGGGGACGGAGAAGGCUAGGUGGGCCUGGCGAUGGUUGUCCAGGUUCAAGUAUGUAGGCGGAAGGUUUAGGUAAAUCCGGACUUUCUUAACGCUGAGAUACGAUGUCGAGCUGCUACGUGCAGUGAAGUCAUUGAUGCCAUGCUUCCAGGAAAAGCCUCUAAGCUUCAGAUUAUAAGAAAUCGUACCCCAAACCGACACAGGUGGUCGGGUAGAGAAUACCAAGGCGCUUGAGAGAACUCGGGUGAAGGAACUAGGCAAAAUGGUACCGUAACUUCGGGAGAAGGUACGCUCUUGGCGGUGAAGUCCCUUGCGGAUGGAGCUACUAGGAGUCGCAGAUACCAGGUGGCUGCAACUGUUUAUUAAAAACACAGCACUGUGCAAAAUCGUAAGAUGACGUAUACGGUGUGACGCCUGCCCGGUGCCGGAAGGUUAAUUGAUGGGGUUAGACUUCGGUCGAAGCUCUUGAUCGAAGCCCCGGUAAACGGCGGCCGUAACUAUAACGGUCCUAAGGUAGCGAAAUUCCUUGUCGGGUAAGUUCCGACCUGCACGAAUGGCGUAAUGAUGGCCACGCUGUCUCCACCCGAGACUCAGUGAAAUUGAAAUCGCUGUGAAGAUGCAGUGUACCCGCGGCUAGACGGAAAGACCCCGUGAACCUUUACUACAGCUUGGCACUGAACAUUGACCCUACAUGUGUAGGAUAGGUGGGAGGCUUUGAAGACGGUACGCCAGUAUCGUUGGAGCCGUCCUUGAAAUACCACCCUUGUAGUGUUGAUGUUCUAACUUAGUCCCCUUAUCGGGGAUGAGGACAGUGCCUGGUGGGUAGUUUGACUGGGGCGGUCUCCUCCCAAAGAGUAACGGAGGAGCACGAAGGUGGGCUAAACACGGUUGGACAUCGUGUGGUUAGUGCAAUGGCAUAAGCCCGCUUGACUGCGAGAAUGACAAUUCGAGCAGGUGCGAAAGCAGGUCAUAGUGAUCCGGUGGUUCUGAAUGGAAGGGCCAUCGCUCAACGGAUAAAAGGUACUCCGGGGAUAACAGGCUGAUACCGCCCAAGAGUUCAUAUCGACGGCGGUGUUUGGCACCUCGAUGUCGGCUCAUCACAUCCUGGGGCUGAAGUCGGUCCCAAGGGUAUGGCUGUUCGCCAUUUAAAGUGGUACGCGAGCUGGGUUUAGAACGUCGUGAGACAGUUCGGUCCCUAUCUGCCGUGGGCGUUGGAAGAUUGAAGGGGGCUGCUCCUAGUACGAGAGGACCGGAGUGGACGAACCUCUGGUGUUCGGGUUGUCAUGCCAAUGGCAUUGCCCGGUAGCUAAGUUCGGAAUCGAUAACCGCUGAAAGCAUCUAAGCGGGAAGCGAGCCCUGAGAUGAGUCUUCCCUGGCACUUUAAGUGUCCUAAAGGGUUGUUCGAGACUAGAACGUUGAUAGGCAGGGUGUGUAAGUGCUGCGAGGCAUUGAGCUAACCUGUACUAAUUGCCCGUGAGGCUUAACCAUACAACACCCAAGGGGUUU